GGGCAUGCGGCGCAUUAGCUAGGUUGGCGGGGCAACGGCCCACCAAGGCUACGAUGCGUAGGGGUUCUGACGAGGAAGGUCCCCCACACUGGUACUGAGACACGGACCAGACUCCUACGGGAGGCAGCAGUGAGGAAUAUUGGGUCAAUGGGCGAGAGCCUGAACCAGCCAAGUCGCGUGCGGGAAGACGGCCCUACGGGGUUGUAAAACCGCUUUAGCCGGGGAGUAACAAGCGCCACGUGUGGCGCCAUGAGAGUACCCGGAGAAUAAGCAUCGGCUAACUCCGUGCC
RNAcentral lists this ribosomal RNA (290 nucleotides) under uncultured bacterium. RNAcentral's name for it is "partial 16S ribosomal RNA". It matches the Rfam family "Bacterial small subunit ribosomal RNA", at positions 227 to 509 of the family's 1533-position model. The record is from RNAcentral.